This 324-nucleotide unclassified non-coding RNA is filed under the name Hevea brasiliensis (rubber tree). The record is from RNAcentral. Lineage: Eukaryota; Viridiplantae; Streptophyta; Magnoliopsida; Malpighiales; Euphorbiaceae.
GAAAAAGUUGAGAGCUAGCACUCUCAACUUCUCUAAAAGGAGUUUUAGAGAAUUUUUCACAACCAAUAUGUGCGGAUACCAUUAGAAACUGGACAUUGGUAGUUUGUUACGACCCGGUCCAAUGGUUAGUAAAUUUCUCAAUCUAUCUGAGGUAAUUUAUUAAACAAUAAAUUUUAAAAUUUCACCAUUUCAUAACUUUAAUUAAAUUGAUCUUGAUUUUAAAAUUUUCUGCUCAAUUUGCUGGGAAUCAGAUGUAAACUAACAGUGAUAUUAGAGCUAUUUUAAUUAAUUAUGAAAUGAUUUGUUGUUGUUGGUGUUAAUUUG